This 963-nucleotide ribosomal RNA is filed under the name Klebsiella pneumoniae. RNAcentral describes it as "bacterial SSU rRNA". It matches the Rfam family "Bacterial small subunit ribosomal RNA", at positions 580 to 1533 of the family's 1533-position model. The record is from RNAcentral. Lineage: Bacteria; Pseudomonadati; Pseudomonadota; Gammaproteobacteria; Enterobacterales; Enterobacteriaceae.
CUGUCAAGUCGGAUGUGAAAUCCCCGGGCUCAACCUGGGAACUGCAUUCGAAACUGGCAGGCUAGAGUCUUGUAGAGGGGGGUAGAAUUCCAGGUGUAGCGGUGAAAUGCGUAGAGAUCUGGAGGAAUACCGGUGGCGAAGGCGGCCCCCUGGACAAAGACUGACGCUCAGGUGCGAAAGCGUGGGGAGCAAACAGGAUUAGAUACCCUGGUAGUCCACGCCGUAAACGAUGUCGAUUUGGAGGUUGUGCCCUUGAGGCGUGGCUUCCGGAGCUAACGCGUUAAAUCGACCGCCUGGGGAGUACGGCCGCAAGGUUAAAACUCAAAUGAAUUGACGGGGGCCCGCACAAGCGGUGGAGCAUGUGGUUUAAUUCGAUGCAACGCGAAGAACCUUACCUGGUCUUGACAUCCACAGAACUUUCCAGAGAUGGAUUGGUGCCUUCGGGAACUGUGAGACAGGUGCUGCAUGGCUGUCGUCAGCUCGUGUUGUGAAAUGUUGGGUUAAGUCCCGCAACGAGCGCAACCCUUAUCCUUUGUUGCCAGCGGUUAGGCCGGGAACUCAAAGGAGACUGCCAGUGAUAAACUGGAGGAAGGUGGGGAUGACGUCAAGUCAUCAUGGCCCUUACGACCAGGGCUACACACGUGCUACAAUGGCAUAUACAAAGAGAAGCGACCUCGCGAGAGCAAGCGGACCUCAUAAAGUAUGUCGUAGUCCGGAUUGGAGUCUGCAACUCGACUCCAUGAAGUCGGAAUCGCUAGUAAUCGUAGAUCAGAAUGCUACGGUGAAUACGUUCCCGGGCCUUGUACACACCGCCCGUCACACCAUGGGAGUGGGUUGCAAAAGAAGUAGGUAGCUUAACCUUCGGGAGGGCGCUUACCACUUUGUGAUUCAUGACUGGGGUGAAGUCGUAACAAGGUAACCGUAGGGGAACCUGCGGUUGGAUCACCUCCUUACCUUAAAGAA